GUUCCGGUUCCGGGGACGGAGCGAAUAAAAAAUGGUUUUCUGUGCUACCGUCGGAUGUGCUGAAACACAAGGUGGAUGAUCUUUCAGUAAGGAGGACAACAUCUCAGGAGACUGAAUGAAGUGCCAAGAAAGCAACCAGGAGACCACGGGACAGUCGAGGGUUUGGCAAGACAAACAAGCCUCCGCCUGAGCUGAGGCCUUUAUUACUUAUUGUUAAUAGCUUGGGUGGUCGUGUUUUUAUCUUUUUAAUGUAGAAGAUAUGUUCUAGCAUGAGGAAAACCUAUAACAUCUACGAAAAAUGAUCGCUGAGAAGAUUACUCAGCCGGUUGAUAACACCCCC
Molecule: long non-coding RNA, 340 nt
Organism: Gasterosteus aculeatus aculeatus (three-spined stickleback)
Lineage: Eukaryota; Metazoa; Chordata; Actinopteri; Perciformes; Gasterosteidae
Source: Ensembl